RNAcentral lists this ribosomal RNA (301 nucleotides) under uncultured bacterium. RNAcentral describes it as "partial 16S ribosomal RNA". It matches the Rfam family "Bacterial small subunit ribosomal RNA", at positions 509 to 807 of the family's 1533-position model. The record is from RNAcentral.
CAGUAGCCGCGGGAAUACGGAGGGUGCAAGCGUUAAUCGGAAUUACUGGGCGUAAAGCGCACGCAGGCGGUUUGUUAAGUCAGAUGUGAAAUCCCCGAGCUUAACUUGGGAACUGCAUUUGAAACUGGCAAGCUAGAGUCUUGUAGAGGGGGGUAGAAUUCCAGGUGUAGCGGUGAAAUGCGUAGAGAUCUGGAGGAAUACCGGUGGCGAAGGCGGCCCCCUGGACAAAGACUGACGCUCAGGUGCGAAAGCGUGGGGAGCAAACAGGAUUAGAGACCCGUGUAGUCCCUGUCUCUUAUAC